GGGACAUAUAUUUCACGAAAAUAUAUUUCGAACAUUUCAACAACACCAUACAACAGAAAGUAACCACAACAUAGUUACCUAUAUAUAUUUUUUGUACAUCAUAGGUACAAAUCUUACUUCAGUCUUUUAUUCUGCAGCGCUAGAUUUACAUACUAGUCCUUGCAAUCUAUUCAGGGAAAUAUACACAAACCACUGAACCAAGCCUUUUCCUCUAGACGGCAUAUUUGUCCUGGAUAUCAAGCAUCAUCCAUAUCUCAUUCACUCGAUCAGCGAACUCGAACGGAGAAUUGUACUGAGCGACCGUAUAUGAGGAUGUUGGAUCGGCUUUACGGCCAUUGUCGACUGCAGAGCCCCAGGAGGAGCCUGAAAGACUGGAAUAGAGGGAUGCUGCUUCCUUUGCGAUGGUGUCGUCUGAGACGAAUCCUCCGAACUGCCUAAUGGCGACAUAUUUGGUACUCCAUUUCUGUACAUGAAGGCCCUUAGCAGGAGGGGGGUUGCCUUGGUAGAAUUUUGGGACGAAAAAGCUCACGACGAAGGAUGAGGCGCAGAAAGGACCGUCGCUGGGGGUGACUUGGGUGAGGACGGGGGCGGUCAUCUCGAUCUUUGCACAGUAUUCAUUCUUUCCUUGGAUGUAGUUGAAUAACUGAAGAAAGCCCAGCCGGGUGGCUGCCACAAACGAGAAGUUCUCUAUCGGAGACGUCAACGACCACGUUGUCGAGUUGUACCGCCGGAUCUCGUACCCGUUCCCUACGGCGACCACGCUGUACUCCGGGCACUCGAUGCGCGAGCACGUCAGAGAGGGGACUGCGGUGGCCGCUCGGACUGCAUCGGCGGCCGGCCGCGCGGAGAGGGCGGAGGUGACGAGGAGGAGGAGAGAGAAAACGUAGUGUAGAUGGG
Molecule: unclassified non-coding RNA, 897 nt
Filed under: Hevea brasiliensis (rubber tree)
Lineage: Eukaryota; Viridiplantae; Streptophyta; Magnoliopsida; Malpighiales; Euphorbiaceae
Source: RNAcentral